GCCAAACACCGGGUCAGCCCUCAGUUCUUUGCCGGUGGAGGCAUCACCUCUCUCGGCUUGCGUUUUUACAAUGUUGCCUCCGGAGAAACCAACCUGUCCACAGACUCACUGUCUUAAUACUCACCUUAAUACUCAGGAACCGCUCCAGUUCUCCACGUUUACCACUGUCUCUUAGACCAACUCACAACAGCAAAUCCAUGACUCGCAGCUCAUGCUCUGCAUUCCGAAGAGAUUUAUUUCGGAGAGCUGCUGCUCUCUCGGUCGUUCUCUAUAAUAACAGAUUUGUAAUUAUUCCAUGUUAUCGGCUGUUUUGACGCUUAGGCUGGAUUUGCUUCACACUAGCCCAGGCUAUUCGCGUAUACCGACUUCAGCCUCAUACAGACCCGGGUUCCCCGGGCGAGAGUCAUUUAUCUGUGCAUUUUCCUGAUCGAGCUGACGGGAAGGCAGCAACAGCCGCAGCGGCAGCAGCGUAAUAAAGAGACAAGGCUGGAAAAGACAAACCCAGAUGCUGCGUGGAGGAAAAGAGGAAACCAGAUGAUUGAUGAUGAGUGAAUUUUGAGAGAAAAAACAGGGAGAAGGAAAGCGGUGAGUGCCCACUUCGAUACAAACUCUUCCUUGUUUGAACGCAAAUAAAGUUGGAUUUCUGUGAGGCUCUCUGGCACAUUUAGAUCUCUGGCCCAUUUUUAUUUUUAAAUUAGUAUAAAUAUAAUUAUUGUCAGUGCAGUUAUAGCCUAUCAUUUCUGUUGUUACACUGCUGUUUGACACCGUGGAGAUUUUUUGUAUUUCCACAUCCAGCAGGCACAACGAUGAAAUGAUUUAGCGCUCAGUCUCAGAGCUGAGGGCAGGCCGUGGUAGCAUGUAAUCUCCGACAGGUUGUAUUUAGUCAAACCAAGGACAGUGAGGGACAGCCACGGCCCCCACCCGCCUCCCUGCACUCCGCUCUGCUGAGCUCCUUUAGAAAAAUCCAGCGCCGCAGCUCUUGAUUAACUUGGACUCAGUUUGUCAAAGAGCCGCUCGGCGCCAGUCGGCUGAUGCGCCACAAUAAGAACAGUCUCUUGUCUCUUUAUAUUUACCCUGGAGUCGUGCAUGUGGGAGCCCCUCCGGCCCCAUCAGAAGCCUCAUCUGCGGCUCCGCUCCACUUUUCUGCCUCGGUCGGUGUCAGAUAUGAUUUUUUUUUUUUUUCUUAAAACAGAUGCUCUCUCCGGGCAGGAAGUACCAUGUUAUAGGCCACGGGCGGCACCUCGACAAAAACUGAAACAAAAAGUGAUAAUCCUUCUGAAUUAGACUGUUAGAGACAACUGCGCAUUUCCUAUUAACCCCUGGAACUUCGCAGCAUGUCUGCGGCUUUCGGUGGCAGGCGCUCUUAAUGGCCAUAAAAAUGUCUUGAAUAAUAUUUAUAAACUCUAAUUGUUAAUACAUUAAAUCACUCAAUUCCUUCCCUAAUCGUUCGUUAUAUGACUGUAAAACAAUCUAAUUAAGAGACAAAGGUGAAAACAAGACAGUUUUUAUGCUUAAAUGCGAUCUAAAAAUGCAACUCCAGAAUGUUUCAGCAGUAGAACUUGUGUGUCAGAUAAAGCAUGAUAUGUGAUUCAGGAGUAUGAGAUGUUUGUACAUCUCCGCUGUCACACACUUGUUGCUCGGCUUCCGUCACAUUGAUACAGCCAUGCGUAGUCAUCAGGCCAGACAGGAGCAGCUCCAGCACAACAGAGCGCAAUAUACCUGCUUAAAGCCAAAAUAGUUUCUACAAGCCCAAGGAACACAUCAAAUCAGACACAGGUCCCUGGAUCAUCAACUGUUUGACACAGUGAAGGCACCAACAGCAGAGUCAUUUUUAGUCAGCCAGGUGUUGGAACUAAAUGCCAGAGAGCAUCAAGAAUGUAAAAUCAUCAAGUAUGUCUUGCACAUACCUCACAGUUUUCUUAAAAGGUGUAUUGUGGUGUCUGUCUGUUAUAAUUUGGCAACACAGCUGACUUGUUUGGAAUGCUGCACCUUCAUAUAAAAUGACAGAGAUGGAGCGGCGGCAGUUUGUCAGAGUUUCGAAACUGCAUGCAUGGAGCUUUACUGGGGAGAAAAAAAGAUUAGUAACAUAUGGAGGUGGAUAACGGUUUUUCUGCCGGAAUACCCAACUGGAUAAUUGUAUCAACAACGCUUGUGCAAAUUAGUCACCAUUUAUUUGUUCUGUGCCGUCAACGGUACAGAAAUCUCCAUUACGCGCGAUUUAAAAGUCAUUAAGUCGAGGGAGGACUGCUCCGAGCUGCUGGUAGAUCUACAUAGACGGGGCACUGUGCUAGAUUAACAUAUUCUGUGUUGGGGAUUAAUGAAAACAGUACAUUUGCUCCUUAGACUUGUUCAUUGGGAAUGUGUUCUGUGUGGCAGCUGGGAAUGUAGAGGAGAGGCAUUGAUUAUGAAGAGCAGAAUAUCUUGCAAAAAUGCCAAAAAUCUAACGUGGAAACAUAUCCAAAACAGGAGUUUAUUCAGAAGUUGUCCCUCAUUUGCCCCACCAUAAGUAGUUCAGAUAAUUUAUGAUAUUGAUAAAAUAUGUAUUGUAUACCCAGAAAAGAUUCAAAAUAAGCAGGUUUGGUAUCUUAAAAUUGAGAUAUUUGAUGCAAAGAGUUGUCAGACACCCGGUGAGAUUACAGUUAGAGUGAAUUAAAUGCUUGCAUAAAGCUUUCCGUAGGAAGAUGACCAAAGCUUUAAUAUGUCCUUGAUCCGCCCGCUCAAUACAUACAGUACAAUGUAAUACAACUGCAGAUCUUAAAAUGUGCGUAAAAAGCGCCUGCCGUCCCGGUGAUUUGGCUCCUGUGUCAGCGAUCCGCGCCAAAGACGCUCUAAUUACAACAUAACGGGGCCGUUUUGCGCCAUAUUCGUCUAUAAUCGACUAUUGUUAUUUUCUUCCUCCCUUCGACAUUGUUCUAUUCUUCCUUUUAUCUCUCCAUCUUCUCCUCCCAUCUCCCCGCAUCAUCUCUCCAGCUAUAUUUAGCGGCUAGACUGAGGCCUUGGCGCCAGACCGUUUAAGACCUGUCAAAGUCCCUCAUAUUUCCCCUUGUCACAUGGAAAGCCGGCGACCAGCGGCCCUCUCCUCCUCCUUUUUUUCUUUUCCUCCUCCUUCUCCUUUUUUCUUUUCCUUCCUCUCCCUCAUCCUCCUCCUGAGCAGUCCUUCUCCACCUCCUCCUCCAGCUCCUCUACAGUUCACUCCGCUAAAUGAAACAUAUCAGUUCUCACUUGAAGGAAAAGCAGAAUGUUUCCUCAACCCCUUCCCAACACCACACACACACACACACACACACACACACACACACACACACACACACACACACACACACACACACACAGAGAGAGAGAGAGAGAGAGAGAGAGAGAGAUGUCUAAUAUAUUAUUGGGAACAAUACAGGGAUUGGACUACAGUAGGCCUACUACCUUAUGGAUCACAGUUCUUUCAUAAAACAAACAUUUUUGCUGAACAUGACUCAAUGACAAACUCAAUCAUAAACUACAACCCCUCACAUCCAGUUACCUUCCAGUCGUAAAGCCUGUUUCACCCUCCAAUUCUCACAGUCAUGUAUCUGGACUGCAGUUACAGUAUUGUCUGGAGGCUGUGGGUGCAUCUGGCUGACAGGUAGACCACCAGGUGGGGGCGCUGUAGUGACCUAGAGUGACAAAGCUGUCACAUACACAGGCGUUACAGCAGCCAACACUUUGAUGCUAUAGACACCCACAGUGUGGCCAGGUUUAGUCCCACAGAGCCUCAUAGGAAGGUUGGGCUUGAUUUACUGUUGGAUUCUUUACAUCGCAGUGGUUUUCAUUCACUGUAUUGUUACUUUUUCAGAACCAGCCAUAAGUUACAGUGCUUAGGAGACUUGGCUCUGAACCCCACAAACAAAGUCAGUAUGACCACAGGUGAAUCAGUGCAUGACGCACUGCAGAAUUGUGCGCACGCCUGUGUAUUUGUCCAGUACGACAAACACGAUUACUGCAUGUGACGCGUGCUUCCAAAUAUAUCACACUGACAUUAAAUAGUUAUUUCAGUUAUUGAUUACUGUCAUUACUGUCUCAUUUUCCCCAUACAGCCUUAAUAAAAAUAUCUUCUCUCUCCUUUGAGCCAAAAAUCCCCUCACAUUCCGCCAGGUCCCACACAGACUAGAUUUCUGAAAUCACCAAUAGAGAUGUAAAAGCACAUUUUGCGUAAGUACUUCAAAUUUUAAAUGCAGUAAUAGAAAAACAAAUUAGAUCCCACUGAAUCAUCGUCUUAAAAAUCCCAGCCACGUAAAUAUCCUGUUUAGACUUAACCGGACUGUAGUUGUGGGUCCCCGAAACAAAUAAACUGACUGAAAACGUUUAAUUCUGUAAAAACAAAAAGGCCUCUGCACGAAAGACUUUGUUUAAAAAGAGAUUUCCCAUGUGAACACUUUGAAAAUAGAUUGCUGUUUUUUUAAUCCAACCACUUUUUCAUCUAUUUGAGACAUUAUUUCUAUACAGACUCUCUAACUUCCUUUUAUUUUGAAAAUAGAUGACUCUAAUUUGAUCAUUUCGAACUUUAAAAUCCUUCCUGUAAUUGGAUUUUGUGUGUAGCCUAUUUUCAGAUUUUGUGUAAAGGUGCUUCGAAGAAAAAAAAUUUAAAGAUUUUUAGCCAAAAAUCUACCUGCGUCCUAUGAAUGCAAGAGAAGGACUGCGCUGUCUAUUUGUUUUGUUGAAGAGAAGCUGUCGACCCAUACUUAAUCACAACACGUUUAAGCAUCGGUCUUUUUAUAUAAUCCAGCUGACAAUAUUUAAGUGUUAUGUUCGUUGAGACGCAUUUUUUAAACCGGUAAAAAUAAUCUUUUGUGUAUUUGCAGAUGUGUUGACAGCGUGGAGAAAUUGAAUUAGCAGCUGCAGCGCUGGGAACAUUGAAUCAUAUUAGGAGCGCAGCAGAGGAGCAGCGGCUACCUGUAGGCCGGAGGGAAUAAGGGAGAGGGUCUCUGCUCCUCUACUGUCACUCAGUGAGGAGAAGAGCUCUCAGACACAGCACGGAGGAGACACAACCCAGCUAAUCACAAAUCCUGCAUGACAGAAAACACAAUGAUUUCCAAAUAUAUUCACAACCGCUCAACCAGUGAAAAGUCUUACUUUCGAUUUCAGCAGUUAGUUUAAAAUAUCAUAUUUUAGUGUUUGAUUAUUGCCAAAAACACCAUUAUAAUCACCCAAAUAACAUUAAUAAUUUCAAACGUUUAGCCCUGAAAUAACUUGAAAAUGUUUCAGAGUUUCAAAUUAUGCCGAGAUACAAGAUGAAUGAAAAAUCGAAGAUUAGAUUUUUUAAAUUAUCUGCGGCUUCAACACGCAGUCAAAAUUAACAAAACGUCUAUUAAUGUUAUUUAACGUAGCCUAAAUCAUGUCAUAUAAUGCCGUCGACUUAAGUAAGUUGGACAUAUAUUGAUGAGAUGAUGAUUGCAAUGCAAAAAACUGUGCCCCCUACAGUCCUCUAUCACAUUAUGGUGCACACAACGAUUUAAUGCGGGCUAAUUAAAAUGAAAGUGAGCCUAAAAUUUUGGAAGGUAAGUGAAGGUAAAUUGAUCGCUGCUUCCUCCGCCGUCUAGGUAGGCCUAAGUGUUUUAUUAUUUGCCAUGUAAAAUCACAUGAACCUAAAACAGCACUGAGAAUCAAAGCUGAUUCAUGUGUUUCUUGAAGGACAAAGAUGGCAGAUGAAACUACUGAAGCUUAUCCAGAAAAAUCCCGCUCAUGUUCCUGAUUCAAAUCUAAUCUCCUUCCAACCUGACAGCAGCAAGCUGAGCUCAGAUCAGAGAGCACAUCUCCAGCUUUGUCUUGGACACCUUAUACUGUACAGGUCUUGACACACUGAUGGUGAGUUUUAGUGCUUACAAAGCUGUCUCUGUGCCAGUGGCUUUCAAAAUUGGUUUCAAGGACCUCCAGGGGCCCUGAGGGUGUGGCAAAAAGUUUAAUUUUAGUGUCAUUUCACCGUCAGAAAUGAUCCCGAUGAGACUUAAGUCUGAAAAUCAACCUGAUUUUUAGAUUUCGAUGGUUGUACAAUUUAACCAAAAGUCAAAGAUUCAACUCUUCAUUACAAUUAUAAUUUGAUCUAUCUGCAGUCUUAAGGAAAUGUCUCGGACCUUGGUGUAGCCUACAUGUUUUCUGCAGCAGCUCAUAAGCACCCUCAGCCAGAGCUAAUUACUCAUCAAUUGUCGAAAUCACCUGCUGCAGUGCAGCAGCUCUGUCUGACCUCUCUGAAUUAGAUGGUCAUUAUUCUAAAUGUUGCAGUUCUCUCAGGUUCCUCAGAUAAAUUGAAUAUUAUCUAUUUCACUCAAAAUGAACCUGACCAUUGCAACCUUCUCACCAUGCCUUGUGGCAGUUCAAUAUUAAAACUUAUACAUUUUCAGGGACUAACUGGGAUUAAAUGUAUUUAAGGUCCAGGAUGCAAAGCAAAUUCAGACCCUCCUGCUCCCACUGUGUUUCUAAGCAAUCUGUCAUUCACAGGGCAGGCUAGGUGCUGUUAAAGGAUUUAAUGAGAAGACGGAGUGAUGGUAAAACAUGCAGGUCCAAGUUUCUCCUGACCUGUAGCAGAUCCUACUAUAUCCCUGGAGGGGGACUCAGACAUGGCAUCAGCCAGUCUCUCCCGGAGGCCUUCAUCACUGGCGUCUGCUGAGCCAACAUUGUGCCGUGGCACACCAAAGCUUUCAGGCCAGCUACCACAUACUUCCAGCAGAGUCACCCCACGCCCGUCAAAUGGACCUGCAUGCAAAAAACAAACACAAGGCCUCAUUGAACCGUCACAGACCAGAUGACUGAUAACAGAAUACUGACCUGCUGGGGGAACCUCCACUGUGUCAGCGUUGGAUGGCAUUGACAGUACACCAUCAUCCUCACCGUGAUCAACGCCAGGCUCCUCUGCAAGCAAGACUGUAAAGUUUGCAAUAUUCCCAAGAAAGAGAUGCUGAACAGAACAGGGUUUCAGGCGCAACUAGCAUCUUCUCUCAUCCUGGAGAGGGUGACCAUCUUUAGGCAGUGGGAGCCCUGUAUCACUAGUGACAUCACAGAGCCCUUUGACAUCCAUGACAAUAACACCACAAAGACCAGUGACUGCUCCGAAGAGGUCAUGUGUACCACCAGUGGAUGUGCACAAGGACAUGAUCGCACAUUUCCCAGUAAAGACAAAGUGAGGAUGCUGCGGAUAUUGCAAUAAAGGCUACUCUAAUACGCUCUGCAGGAAGUGCAGUGUCCGUCUCUGCUUUUCAGAGGAAAGGAACUGCUUUUUGGAGUACCACUGUACAUGAACACUGGGCACUGGUUUUUGAACAAAGUUGGCAUCGCUGUCUUCUCCCACUAAUCCAGGUUCCGCCAGCGUGUCCUGGGU
This is a long non-coding RNA of Epinephelus moara (kelp grouper), 7342 nucleotides long. RefSeq lists it as uncharacterized. The transcript has 6 exons. NCBI's taxonomy places the organism in Eukaryota, Metazoa, Chordata, Actinopteri, Perciformes, Serranidae. The record is from RefSeq and is a predicted model, not a curated record.